GAUGAACGCUAGCGACAGGCCUAACACAUGCAAGUCGAGGGGCAGCACAAGGAGCAAUCUGAGGUGGCGACCGGCGCACGGGUGAGUAACACGUAUGCAACCUACCUGUAAGCGGGGAAUAACCCGUUGAAAGACGGACUAAUACCGCAUAAUACUGGAGAUCUGCAUGGAUAUUCAGUUAAACAUUUAUGGCUUACAGAUGGGCAUGCGCAUGAUUAGAUAGUUGGAGAGGUAACGGCUCCCCAAGUCAACGAUCAUUAGGGGUUCUGAGAGGAAGGUCCCCCACACUGGUACUGAGACACGGACCAGACUCCUACGGGAGGCAGCAGUGAGGAAUAUUGGUCAAUGGGCGAAAGCCUGAUGCAGCAACGCCGCGUGAGUGAUGAAGGC
This 390-nucleotide ribosomal RNA is filed under the name uncultured bacterium. RNAcentral's name for it is "bacterial SSU rRNA". It matches the Rfam family "Bacterial small subunit ribosomal RNA", at positions 28 to 415 of the family's 1533-position model. The record is from RNAcentral.